Molecule: non-coding RNA, 427 nt
Organism: Phasianus colchicus (ring-necked pheasant)
Lineage: Eukaryota; Metazoa; Chordata; Aves; Galliformes; Phasianidae
Source: the annotation of a RefSeq genome assembly
GAUGCGGCAGUGCCGGGCCGCGGGGCUGGCGGGGCUGGCCGCGGUGCUCCUGGUGGCUGUGAGCAGAGCUCAGGUGCAGCAGGAGCCGGCGGCAGAGACCAGCGAGGGCAUCGGCAUCAACAUCACCUGCUCACACCCCAACGUACAGUCCAACGAGGUUAUCUACUUGUACCGUCAGCUUCCGGGCCGAGGACCCACAUUCCUCGUGAACGCUUUUAAAGGCUACAAAGAGGUGCCGGACCCGGAGGGGCGUCUGUGGGUAUCGGCAGACCGCCGCUCCAGCUCUUAUGAUUACAUCCACUGGUACCGUCAGCUUCCGGGCCGAGGACCCACAUUCCUCGUCAGCGCCGUCAAAGGCUCCGAGGACGUGCCGAACCCGGAGGGGCAGGUGUUUGUGUCGGCAGACCGCCGCUCCAGCGCCCUGUGA